This 450-nucleotide long non-coding RNA is filed under the name Aotus nancymaae (Ma's night monkey). RNAcentral describes it as "lncRNA (ENSANAG00000039197.1)". The record is from RNAcentral. Lineage: Eukaryota; Metazoa; Chordata; Mammalia; Primates; Aotidae.
GUCCGAGGUGCUGUUACAUUGGAGCUGUGAUGAAUGAGAAGGAAGAGGAGGAUGAUGAAGAGGAUGAUGACCACUGAGGACCCAAUCAGAACGUGCAGGUAUCUGGGGUUACCUGGAGGAAGAUGGGAACCCAGUAAGAAGCUGACCAUGGCAGUUCCUCUUCAGGGAUCAUCUCUCAUCUCUUCACUGCCAGGAAGCCGUGUUCCUCUCUUGACCGAACACCCACUGGGCCUCAUGCAAGGUGGAAAGAGCCUGCGUACGUCACCGUCCCAUGAUGUGGUCAGCAUGUAAACUGCACAGGCAGGGCCUCUCACAACAUCCUGUGCGCUGCUGAAGGGAGCUGGGGCGCGGCCGCUGGUCUGCACAGGCAGCACCAUGUCACUUAUGGUCGUCAGCAUGGCGUGUGUCGGUGAGUCCUGGAGGGAAUCGAGCGGGGGAGCGAUGGGGUGG